UACGUAGGCAGCAAGCGUUGUUCGGAAUUACUGGGCGUAAAGGGUGCGUAGGCGGUGCUCUAAGUUUGGUGUGAAAUCUCCCGGCUUAACUGGGAGGGUGCGCCGAAGACUGGAGUGCUUGAGUGCGGGAGAGGAAAGCGGAAUUCCUGGUGUAGCGGUGAAAUGCGUAGAGAUCAGGAGGAACACCUGCGGUGUAGACGGCUUUCUGGACCGUAACUGACGCUGAGGCACGAAAGCGUGGGUAGCAAAC
This 250-nucleotide ribosomal RNA is filed under the name uncultured bacterium. RNAcentral describes it as "partial 16S ribosomal RNA". It matches the Rfam family "Bacterial small subunit ribosomal RNA", at positions 524 to 773 of the family's 1533-position model. The record is from RNAcentral.